RNAcentral lists this ribosomal RNA (253 nucleotides) under uncultured bacterium. RNAcentral's name for it is "partial 16S ribosomal RNA". It matches the Rfam family "Bacterial small subunit ribosomal RNA", at positions 524 to 776 of the family's 1533-position model. The record is from RNAcentral.
GACGUAGGGCGCGAGCGUUGUCCGGAAUUAUUGGGCGUAAAGGGCUCGUAGGCGGUUUGUCGCGUCUGCCGUGAAAGUCCGGGGCUCAACUCCGGAUCUGCGGUGGGUACGGGCAGACUAGAGUGAUGUAGGGGAGACUGGAAUUCCUGGUGUAGCGGUGAAAUGCGCAGAUAUCAGGAGGAACACCGAUGGCGAAGGCAGGUCUCUGGGCAUUAACUGACGCUGAGGAGCGAAAGCAUGGGGAGCGAACAGG